Molecule: transfer RNA, 92 nt
Filed under: Candidatus Bathyarchaeota archaeon
Lineage: Archaea; Thermoproteati; Candidatus Bathyarchaeota
Also listed under: 2 other names
Description: tRNA-Met
Rfam family: tRNA
About the family: Transfer RNA (tRNA) molecules are approximately 80 nucleotides in length.
Source: RNAcentral
GCCGGGGUCGCCUAGGGGCCUAGGGCGCCGGACUCAUAGUCCGGUUAUCGCGGGUUCGAAUGGGUUAAACCCCGAAAAUCCCGCCCCCGGCA